This 468-nucleotide ribosomal RNA is filed under the name uncultured bacterium. RNAcentral's name for it is "partial 16S ribosomal RNA". It matches the Rfam family "Bacterial small subunit ribosomal RNA", at positions 28 to 507 of the family's 1533-position model. The record is from RNAcentral.
GACGAACGCUGGCGGCGUGCUUAACACAUGCAAGUCGAACGGAAAGGCCCUGCUAUUGUGGUGUGCUCGAGUGGCGAACGGGUGAGUAACACGUGAGUAACCUGCCCUUGACUUUGGGAUAACUUCAGGAAACUGGGGCUAAUACCGGAUAGGAGCUUCUUCUGCAUGGUGGGGGUGGGAAAGUUUCGGCGGUUGGAGAUGGAGUCGAGGCUUAUCGGCUUGUUGGUGGGGUAGUGGCUUACCAAGGCUUUGAAGGGUAGCCGGCCUGAGGAGGUGAGCGGCGACAUAGGGACUGAGAUACUGCCCAGACUCGUACGGGAGGCAGGAGUGGGGAAUAUUGCACAAUGGGCGGAAGCCUGAUGCAGCAACGCAGCGUGCGGGAGGACGGCCAUCGGGUUGUAAACCGCUUUCGCCAUUGACGAAGCGUGAGUGACGGUAAUGGGUAAAGAAGCACCGGCUAACUACGUG